RNAcentral lists this ribosomal RNA (483 nucleotides) under Shewanella baltica. Its description in RNAcentral is "bacterial SSU rRNA". It matches the Rfam family "Bacterial small subunit ribosomal RNA", at positions 26 to 496 of the family's 1533-position model. The record is from RNAcentral. Lineage: Bacteria; Pseudomonadati; Pseudomonadota; Gammaproteobacteria; Alteromonadales; Shewanellaceae.
AGAUUGAACGCUGGCGGCAGGCCUAACACAUGCAAGUCGAGCGGCAGCGGGAAGAUAGCUUGCUAUCUUUGCCGGCGAGCGGCGGACGGGUGAGUAAUGCCUAGGGAUCUGCCCAGUCGAGGGGGAUAACAGUUGGAAACGACUGCUAAUACCGCAUACGCCCUACGGGGGAAAGGAGGGGACCUUCGGGCCUUCCGCGAUUGGAUGAACCUAGGUGGGAUUAGCUAGUUGGUGAGGUAAUGGCUCACCAAGGCGACGAUCCCUAGCUGUUCUGAGAGGAUGAUCAGCCACACUGGGACUGAGACACGGCCCAGACUCCUACGGGAGGCAGCAGUGGGGAAUAUUGCACAAUGGGGGAAACCCUGAUGCAGCCAUGCCGCGUGUGUGAAGAAGGCCUUCGGGUUGUAAAGCACUUUCAGUAGGGAGGAAAGGUARUAGUUUAAUACGCUAUUACUGUGACGUUACCUACAGAAGAAGGACCGG